UAAUUGUUAACUUGUUAUAUUUGUUGAGAUCAUUAAACUUGAGUCUGAAUAAAACAUAGCAAUCCUUGCAUCUGCAUAUUAUUCAGCAAACACAGAUUGUAAUUGUAUAAACAUAUCAAGGUAGCAUUACAACCAGUAUCACCAUUUUAUUCGACAAAGCAUGGCACAGCAUCCAGCAAACAUACAUAUUUGAAAAGAUGUCACCGGAACCAGUACAGGCACAGCACCAGCAACAAACAUUGUACACUGAACUCUGCAUCGAUGGAGAAAAAAAGGUGGAACCACAAGAUAGAACCUUCACAAACCUCCUCACUUCUCACUGUCAACCACACCGAGCUCUGCAUCGAUGGCAUUGUGUGCGGUCUCGAGGUCUUCAUCAAGGAAAAUGUCCCAGUGCCCAUCCCAGCGGAUGAAGAACUCUGUGUCCUCCAAGUACUUGACACGGUGCACGUCCCCAGCAGGCGUGAACAGGAAGUCCCCAUCGACCAGGCCAUAGCUCUCCUUCUUGGUCAAGUUCCACACCUUCUUCUUGCCCUUGAUCACCACCAGGUCGUGGCCGAAGGUGUGGUGGUGGGCCGGCUCCACGCUUCCAGCUUUGAACCGCACGUAGGCCGAAGUCGGGCUCUCGCGCACAAUCCGCAUCUCGCCGCCGGGCAUGAUGUCCACCGGCUCGAACUCCAUCCCCUUCCUCAGGUAGCAGAUGGCGCAGGCGGAGUCCGGCGCAGGAGGGGCUGCCGGUCCCUCGGGGAUGGAGGCCAUCUCACCGGGGGCAGCAUCGAAGAACUUCUGAAUGUCCUCCGGCCAAGGGGCGUCGCCGGACGCGGGGCAGGGGGCGCGGAAGGGGGUGGCGAGCCAGGCGUCGGCGAUGGCGGCGGCGGCCUCGGGCGGGGUGGCCAUGCCGGAGAGGGCGAGGACGUUGCAGGCGUUGAUGGAGCGGGUGUUGACGGCGUCGGCGGCGGAGCCGCAGUGCGUGGCGUACACGCCGGGGUACUUGUUGGCGAAGAUGGCGACACCGGCGCCGGUGCCGCAGACGACGACGCCGCGGGCCUCGAGCGCUGGGUCAGGGGCCGAGGAGGAGACGCCGCGAGCGACGGCCGCGGCGGCGGAGUAGUACUUGUCGACGCCGAGGUCGACGACGUCGGCGACGGAGGAGUGGGCGCGGAGGUGCGCGACGACGGCGUCCUUGAGCGGCUCGCCGAAGCCGUCGGCGGCCGCGAAGAUCUUGAAGCGGCGGCUGCCGGCGGAGGCGGAGGCGGCCAUCGGCGAUAGCGGUGUUCGAUCUGAGAUUUGGAUGCGGAGCAGAAGACUACAGUGGCGAGCGGCGACAGCGAGCAAAGGCAGCCGGGCCGAACUAAGCAAGACGACGACCGCAAGUGGACUUUUUCUUUCUUGAUGAUGAUAACUCGAUCGGCCCAUCAGUCUGUGUGUAUCACACUGUUUGGUAGAGAUAAGAACAUUUUUUUCCUUAUAAAGUUUUUUUAAGACAAUUUUGCUCAUGAAGGUAGGGAUGCAAAUAAGGAAGGCCAGUACUGGCCCCGGCGCGCCGGUCGAAAGUUUUGGCUGGUCAAGCCCUAGUCGUUCGAUUUACUCAAUAAUAACCGUCCAGAUUGCAUCUUCUCCCUUGCAUGCGGGUCAAAGCCUCCUCCUUCCUCACGUACGGGUUGCGCUUGACACAAACACAUCCUCCACCAUGGCGCCUCCUUCUCUUCCCUGGCCUUCGCGAAAAAAAACUCCCGCCUCCCAUCGUUGCUUGGCUCAGCCACGCCAUGUGUGGCUCUGGCGAGCAGCAGGGCCGGCCGCUCGGAGUGCAGCGCCAUGCCGGACCCCAAGGUCGCCGCUCACCNNNNNNNNNNNNNNNNNNNNNNNNNNNNNNNNNNNNNNNNNNNNNNNNNNNNNNNNNNNNNNNNNNNNNNNNNNNNNNNNNNNNNNNNNNNNNNNNNNNNNNNNNNNNNNNNNNNNNNNNNNNNNNNNNNNNNNNNNNNNNNNNNNNNNNNNNNNNNNNNNNNNNNNNNNNNNNNNNNNNNNNNNNNNNNNNNNNNNNNNNNNNNCAAAUGCAGCAGUUCUCGUCAUCGUCGGCGCAACACCAUGCCACACACUAGGCCGAUCCUCGUCUUCUGCCGCCAGAUGUAGCAGACGAAUCUCAGCAAAAAAGAAAAAAAAUGUAUGUAGCAAAAAAACUCAUAGGUUGUAGCAAAAAGCAACGACGGGUGUAGCAAAAAAAUCACCGUCGCCGUUGUCGAGCCUCCAACUCCACCAUGAAAAAAAGGAUGUAUCAAGAAAUCCUCGACGGACGUAGCAAAAACUACAACGGUUGUAGAAAAAAAGGUUGUCGCCGUCGCAGAAUGCAGCUCGGCCGUGAAUGAAUGUAGCAAAAAACUAAUACGGCAAAACGAAUCACCGUGGCAGGAAAAAUAUAUGCCAGUUACAACAAAAGAACAUGCGUCGCCGCGGAUAGUUGCAACAAAAAACUUCGCCGGAUCCAAUAAAUCUAGUAGCCGGUUCCAGCAAAUCAGCUCGCGGUUCCAACAAAAAAUACCUCCACCACCAUGGAUGCAGCGUCUUGAAUCCUCCAUUGUAGCAAAUCGAGUAGCCAGUUCCAGCAAUUUACUUCACCGGUUCCAGCGCGAGCGUGGCCGGAUUCCAGCACGGCAGCCAUAGAGCUUCCAGCGUGGCGCAUCGAUGGUUUCUAGCACAGCGACGGCUCCAGCACGGGUGAGGGAGUCCUGGAUUAGGGGGUGUCCGGAUGACUGGACUAUACCUUCAGCCGGACUCCAGGACUAUGAAGAUACAAGAUUGAAGACUUCGUCCCGUGUCCGGAAGGGACUUUCCUUGGCAUGGAAGGCAAGCUUGGCGAUACGGAUAUUCAGAUCUCCUACCAUUGUAACCGACUCUAUGUAACCCUAACCCUAUCCGGUUUCUAUAUAAACCGGAGGGUUUUAGUCCGUAGGAUAACAUACACAUCAACAAUCAUACCAUAGGCUACCUUUUAGGAUUUAGCCUCUCUGAUCUCGUGGUAGAUCUACUCUUGUACUACCCAUAUCAUCAAUAUUAAUCAAGCAGGACGUAGGGUUUUACCUCCAUCGAGAGGGCCCGAACCUGGGUAAAAACUUCGUGUCCCCUGCCUCCUGUUACCAUCCGGCCUAGACUCACAGUUCGGGACCCCCUACCCGAGAUCCGCCGGUUUUGACACCAACAUUGGUGCUUUCAUUGAGAGUUCCUUUGUGCCGGCGGAGGCGGAGGCGGAGGCGGCCAUUGGCGAUAGCGGUGUUCGAUCUGAGAUUUGGGAGCUCGAGAUUUGGAUGCGGAGCAGAAGAUUACAGUGGCGAGCAGCGACAGCGAGCAAAGGCAGCCGGGCCGAACUAAGCAAGACGACGACCGCAAGUGGACCUUUUCUUUGUUGAUGAGAUGGACACGAAUGAGAACUCGAACGGCCCAUCAGUCCCUGUGUAUCACACUGUUUGGUAGAGAUACGAACAUAAAGUUUUUUUAAGACAAUUUUGCUUAUAAAGGUAGGGAUGCAAAUUUGAAACCACGCCAGGUUUCAUGUUUCUCAGAAUUCAUUUGCAUUUUUUAGAAUUAAAGAAGCAAUAAGCUUCAUGUCAGAUCUUGACACCUGAAUGUUUGGAAUUUCUCCUUUCUUGUCUUGGAUAAGACCUCAGGAUAGACUAAAGAACACAAAUACGAUUUUAAACUCAUUUUGCCAACUUUUUCAGGCACAUAUUGUUCAAAUUUGCAUUAUAUUCAUUAAAUGGAUAUAAAAUUCUUUUAGUGACUUAAAAAUAGCAAACAAGCCACAAAGAUACCGAAUUUGGAGUGACAACAAACAGAUUCGCUCUGCAACAUGCAGUGGCAGAGAUAGAGGGACCAGCAGUAGCAGGGCCNNNNNNNNNNNNNNNNNNNNNNNNNNNNNNNNNNNNNNNNNNNNNNNNNNNNNNNNNNNNNNNNNNNNNNNNNNNNNNNNNNNNNNNNNNNNNNNNNNNNNNNNNNNNNNNNNNNNNNNNNNNNNNNNNNNNNNNNNNNNNNNNNNNNNNNNNNNNNNNNNNNNNNNNNNNNNNNNNNNNNNNNNNNNNNNNNNNNNNNNNNNNNNNNNNNNNNNNNNNNNNNNNNNNNNNNNNNNNNNNNNNNNNNNNNNNNNNNNNNNNNNNNNNNNNNNNAGAUGAACAGUGCAGAAUUUAGAAAAAAAUACAUGCAUUAAUGUAGUUUGGCCCCGUGUCAUUUGUACCCCCUAACUACCUUUAAUUUCCGGCUCCACCAUUGGCAACAUGGGAGAUCGGUGGUCGUCUAUGGUGGGUAGGUGUCCUACCCAUGCGAAAGAACAACUAUGUUCUAUGGUGGAGUACUGGCUGGGGUGACUAUCAAAAGAUAUAUUUUCAAGAUGAUUUUUGAAACAUCGCUUUGUUGGGGAACAUAGUAAUUUCAAAAAAAUUCCUACGCACACGCAAGAUCAUGAUGAUGUAUAGCAACGAGAGGGGAGAGUGUUGUCUACGUACCCUCGUAGACCGUUCGCGGAAGCGUUAUAUCAACGCGGUUGAUGUAGUCGUACGUCUUCACGUCCGACCGAUCCAAGUACCGAAAGCACGACAUCUCCGAGUUCUGCACACGUUCGGCUCGGUGACGUCCUCGCCUUCUCGAUCCAGCAAGAGGGGUGAAGUAGUAGAUGAGUUCUGGCAGCACGACGGCGUGGUGACGGUGUUGGUGAAGAACAAUCUCCGUAGGACUUCGCCUAAGCACUACGAAAACUAUGAUGGAGGAUAAACUAGAGGGGACGGGGCUACCGGCACACGGCUUGGUGUUUCUUGAUGUGUCUUGGGUGCUAGCCCUACCCCUCUAUUUAUACGUUGAGCCUUGGGGUCGAAACUUGGAGUAAAAGCCUCCACAAAGUCGGUUUCACCCGAAAGGCAAGAGUCCUUCUCGGACUCCAGGGCCAGACGCCAGUGUUCCUGUCGUCUGGACCCAGACGCCAGGGACCCUGGCGUCUGGCCCCUGGACUCCGCAAAACUUCCUUUUGCGCUUUCCAAAAACCUUGUGGGCUUUCCCCUUUGGCCCAAAUAAAGUGUUCUCGUACCCAAAUAUUUCGGGAAACAUCCGGAACCCCUUCCUGUGAUUUCCGGAACCCUUCCGGUGACCAAACACUAUUAUCCCAUAUAUCAAACUUUAUCUUCGGACCAUUCCGGAGUUCCUCGUCAUGUCCGUGAUCUCAUCCCGGACUCCGAACAACAUUCGGUCAUCAACAUACAUAACUCAUAUAGUACUAUAUCGUCAACGAACGUUAAGCGUGCGGACACGGGUUCGAGAACUAUGUAGACAUGACCGAGACACCUCUCUGGUCAAUAAUCAAUAGCGGGACCUGGAUGCCCAUAUUGGCUCCUACAUAUUCUACGAAGAUCUUUAUCGGUCAGACCGCAUAACAACAUACGUUGUUCCCUUUGUCAUCGGUAUGUUACUUGCCCGAGAUUCGAUCGUCGGUAUCUCAAUACCUAGUUCAAUCUCGUUACCGGCAAGUCUCUUUACUCGUUCCGUAAUACAUCAUCCCGCAACUAACUCAUUAGUUGCAAUGCUUGCAAGGCUUAUAGUGAUGUGCAUUACCGAGUGGGCCCAGAGAUACCUCUCCGACAAUCGGAGUGACAAAUCCUAAUCUCGAAAUACGCCAACCCAACAAGUACCUUUGGAGACACCUGUAGAGCACCUUUAUAAUCAUCCAGUUACGUUGUGACGUUUGGUGGCACACAAAGUGUUCCUCUGGUAAACGGGAGUUGCAUAAUCUCGUAGUCAUAGAAACAUAUAUAAGUCAUGAAGAAAGCAAUAGCAACAAACUAAACGAUAAAGUGCUAAGCUAACAGAAUGGGUCAAGUCAAUCACAUCAUUCUCCUAAUGAUGUGAUCUCGUUAAUCAAAUGACAACUCAUGUCUAUGGUUACGAAACUUAACCAUCUUUGAUCAACGAGCUAGUCAAGUAAAGGCAUACUAGUGACACUCUGUUUGUCUAUGUAUUCACACAUGUAUUAUGUUUCCGGUUAAUACAAUUCUAGCAUGAAUAAUAAACAUUUAUCAUGAAAUAAGAAAAUAAAUAAUAACUUUAUUAUUGUCUCUAGGGCAUAUUUCCUUCACGCUUCAUGUCCAAAUGAAAACUUGUUCUGACCUUUAUUGGUCGUGUUGAACAACGAAGAACUUGUGUCGUUACCUUGUUAAAGGGGUUGUCUCGUUGUUUGAUGCAUUGGCCUUAAGUGAUUGAUUUCAGCAAUUAAGAUGAAAAUCCUCAUCCUACUGCUCACUGGACAAUGACAACACAAGGACAUGUGUACCUCUUCUUGAAGGAGCUGUUGCGGAAGAAAUCGACUUAGUGUUUUAUUCGUUUUUUCUUCUUGAAUUGGUACUGCCGAUGUUAUAUAGUCUCAGUCAGUGCUAUAUUGGUGAGAUCUUUUUUUCGAUAAAGGAUGCUUUUAUUAACUCAAAAUGUAGCAUCGAGCGGAUACAAAACAUAAAGAGCGACACCCGGCUUCUGCAUAGCUAAGAUGCACACAACCAUCAAACAAACAAUCUGACAAAAAAAUAUAAAAACGACAAAGUGGCAACAGUAAAGCCAUAUGGGGCCGAAACUAUGCCUAUGUCGACGGAGAAGGUGGAUCGAUUCGGAGAUUAUGCUGCCACCCAUGUUGGGUAAAAACCUCCCUGGCCACCCGCUCCAACCGCAUACACACCGCCUUGAACAGCAAUUGGUACUCCGUUCGGUGCAGAGUAGACCACAUACGAAGCCAGUGCGUACAACGGUAAAUAUCCUGCACAGGAGAAGAGAUUUUGUCAUUAAAAACACAAUCAUUUCUACAUAGCCAAAGCGACCAUAGUAAGGCAGACGCUCCCACCCGUAUUAGCGUACUAAAAGUAUUUGGUAUUCCAUCAAGCCAGUGACCAUAUAUAUUGGUAACACUUGUUGGUGGAUACAAAUUUGACGCUAUUUGGAUAACUGACCAUGUAGAACGCGCAAACUUGCAUUAAAAGAAGAGAUGUUUGAUUGUCUCAUCAUGAGUACAAAAACUACAUUUCUUGCUUCCUUUCCAGUUGCGUCGAGCGAGGUUGUCUUUAGUUAGCACAACUCCUCUCCGAAGAUACCACAUGAAAAUCUUAACUUUUAGUGGCAUCUUCGAUUUCCAGAUUUGUUUAUUAUUGGCCACUGGAAUCUCUAUGUGCGAUAGUGCACGAUACAUAGAGUCAACUGUGAAGGACCCAGAUGUAGUAAGAUUCUAGCGAAAGACAUCCCGACCUUGUGUCAAGUUAAUCGAAUCCAAACGGGAUAGAAGAUGUUGCCAUGACACAAGACGGGUCCCAACCAAAUCCCUCCGAAAUGAUAUAUCUGGCGGAGAAGUGGUCAUCACGUGCGCAAGAGUAUCGUUCUUAUCGCGUACAAUGCGGUACAAGUCUGGGUACUGUUCUCGGAGAGUGAUAUUUCCUAGCCACUUGUCCUCCCAGAAGCGUAUCUCCGAGCCGUCCUUUAUCGCGAAGGAUCCGAAACGGAAAAGAUGUUUCUUUACCGCCAUCAGACCAGCCCAAAAAUGUGAGUCACCGGGCUUCCAAUAAGCCUGGGAUAACGCCUUUUGGCCUAAAUACUUGUUGCAUAGCAUAGUUUGCCAAACACCAUCCUCAGUAAGAAGUUUGAACAACCAUUUACUGAGUAAGGCAUCAUUCUUGACCUGGAGGUCCUGAACACCUAAGCCUCCUUGGUCUUUCGGUCGGCAAAUGAUGCUCCAUUUGGUUUGUCUAUACCUUUUCUUUUCACAGUCUCUUUGCCAAAAAAAAAUCAGGAUCUGAAGUAAUCCAGUCUUUGCAGAACCCCUUUGGGUAGUUGGAAAAAUGAGAGCAUGUAGAGAACCAUGUUGGUGAGAAUAGAAUUGAUCAAAACUAGUCGUCCUCCAAUGGAGAGCAAUUUUCCUUUUCAACUGCUCAAUCGUUUCUCCAAUCGUUCUUCAACAUGUUUCCACUCUGCAUUAGUGAGACGCCGAUAAUGAAUCGGAAUUCCCAAAUAUUUAAUUGGGAAUUGGCCUUGUGCACAUCCAAACAAGUCAGCAUAUUGUGCAGCCGUCUCCUUGGCUUCUCCAAAACAGAACAAUUCACUUUUAUGAAAGUUGAUUUUGAAACCUGACAUUUGCUCAAAAGCUGAAAGCAGAAGUUUCAGAUUUCUCGCCUUAUCAAGGUCAUGUUCCAUGAAAAGAAUCGUAUCAUCGGCAUAUUGUAAGAUAGAGAGUCCUCCAUCAACAAGAUGUGGCACUACUCCUGCAAUCUGACCAUCCUGUUUGGCACGUUCAAUCAAAGUAGCCAGCAUGUCAGCGACAAUGUUAAAUAACAUUGGAGACAGUGAGUCACCUUGACGUAAUCCCUUUUUCGUCUGGAAGUAAUGGCCUACAUCAUCAUUGACUUUGAUAGCCACACUGCCUCCAGUAAUGAAAUUUUGGAUCCACUCACACCAUUUACCGGAGAAACCUUUUAUUCUCCGGGUCUGCUGUAGAAAUGACCAUUUGACUUUAUUAUAUGCCUUUUCAAAGUCAAUUUUCAAUACUACCCCACUCAUGUUCUUCCGGUGCAUCUCGUGAAUGGUCUCGUGAAGGAUAACUACUCCAUCGAGUAUAUUUCUUCCUUGCAUGAAAGCCGUUUGGUGAGAUCUUACAUUAAGAUUUUUCUUUCUUUCUUAUUAUACAUGUUAGUCAUUUGAUUAAGAGGGUGUUUGUUUCCAGGGACUUAUUGGUUUAGGGACUUAAAAAAGUCCCUAUAAGUCCCAUCUAAACCAAACAGGAGGGACUUAUAGAGACUUAAACUGGUGAUUUGGGACUUACUCCCUCCGAUCCCAUUUAGUCUGCGUAUAACUUUUUCCCGAAAAAUCCGGAAUGGUCUGCGCGUUCGGUUCAGCCUGUUUAGGAGGGAAGUGAAAUUGCGCUGUGUUGCGUUUAGGAGGGAACUUGAAUUGUUGGCGCUAUACAGUUUUGAUCGAAGCAAAAAUCUGUGGAAGAUCACAUCUCUUUUGAAGAGAAGAUUGCUAUCUCUACUCGAGCUGCUCAUAGGCCAGCGUCACGGCAUGCACGUCGUGUGAGAGAGAGAGAUAGACAGCCAUGCAACAUGCAGAGAGAGGAGAAUGCGGGCGGAGAGCCAAUGGGUUGCAUGGGGGCAUUUAUUGCUGCUUUGCUCCUCCGGUCCACGCGCAUGCGCAGAGGGGCAUUUCUGUCCAUAUAGCAUGCAGCGAGCCCACCUCUUGGUAUCCGGGUCUGCUCUUAGGCGCAGACAAAAAAGAAUCGGAGGGACUAUUAAAAAAGACUCUCAGGGAGGAACUUAUAGGGACUUAUAGUGGUGAUUUGGGUCUUUUAGCAUGUCAUUUAAUACAGUUUGUCUAAUUCACAUCUAGAUGUUUUUUAAGGAUGUCACAUCUAAUCUCUUAACCCUUGGAUUUAACCUGCUGUAAUUAUCGUGCAAGUUUUGAUUCGCGUCGUGCACGUCCCGCAUCGCUCGCCCGCAAGUCGCUGUCACUCGGGCCGUUGCUUUUUCUUUUGUUGGUCCGGCCUCUUGUUGCACGGGCGGCUUAAUCUUUUUUGUUUUUGUAUUUUCUGGGCUGUGUUCUUUUGUUGGUCCGGCCUUUUGUUGCACGGGCAGCCUGUUCUUUUUUGUUUUUGUAUUUUCUGGGAUGUGUUGUAACAAUUCAAAAGGCUAUCUGUUUUUAUGUGCCUAUAUAAUGUACGAUAUACAAAACUAAAAAUAUAUAAUGUACGAUAUAACACUCGUUGGUUCACAUCUCACUCUUUUUCUGCCCAGUUCAUGAUUUUUGUUAGUACGUGAAACACUUUUUGAUGUGUGCAAACAUUUAUUAAAAUUCAUGAAUUUUCUUUUUGUCAAUACUUAUUUGAAUGUGUGAUUUUAAAAUUGAAAAACAUUUUAAAAUAUAUUUGAAUAAUUUUAAAUCAGAUUUGUUAAAUCUCAUGAAGAUUUCAAAAUGUCUUAUCUAAGUUGUGGUUCAUCCGACCUAUUUAUUUUAACUUUUUACGGAAAACUCACAUCUAGAUUUAUUUAAGGAUGUCACAUCUAAAUCAGUGGUCAUUGGAUCUUUUUUUGUAAUUCUCGUGCAAAAUUUAUCCCGUAUCUUGUUCGUUGCCCCUGACGCUAGUUGCAUCGUUAGUUGUUCUUUUUUUGACCCGUUUUUUGUUUCUGACCCGUUAUGGUCAUCACGCCGGGGAACAGGCGGGCCGCUUUUUUCUGGUUGUUUUUGAAUUGCAGGGUGUGCUUCAGAUGUUCAUGUUAGAUAGAAAUUUAUUCGUGUCUGCUUCCCUUUUUUUUGUUGGUGUGUGUGUCCGCCUGCUCGAUUUCUUCCUUUUCGAGCUUAAUUUUUUUGUCUACUAUAUGUGUUGUAUCCGUUCAUUGUAGAAAUUUUAUUUGUGAGCUCUUUUUCUAGCUUCUUUUUCCUUCCAUUCCGAUUCUAUGCUUUGUGUAUAUACAUGGCGUCGAUGCAUGUUUCUCGUCCGAGUCAGGUUGUUUUACUUUUGUUUUUCCUUUCCUUUUUUCCACUCUUCCUUUUUUGCUUCAAAUUUAUGAAUUUUUAGAAUUCAAUUGUCUUAAAUUCAUGGUUUUUGUUUCCAUUUUUAUUUUUUUUCAUUUCCUUUCCUUUUUCCUUUUUCUUUUUUAACCAUCGACUCGCAACAAGGGGGGAUGUUUGUCGGGGCCCGCAAUUGCAUGUCAACCAUCGACUUUCAACUAGGGAGAGGAGUGUGUUUGUACGGGUCCCAGUUACAAGUCAACCAUCGACGUGCAACCAAGGGAAAUGAGUGUGUACGGGCCCUAGUUGCAAGUCAAUCAUCGACUCGCAACUGGUGUGGCGACGUCUGUGUGUGUUUGUGAGGGCCUAGUUGCAUGUCAACCAUCAACUUGCAACUAGGGGGCGUCUGUGUGCAUUUUGUCGGGGGCCCAAGUUGACGCGUUGCAUGUCAACCAUCGACUUGCAACUAGGGGAUUGUUUGUAGGGGCCCCAGUUGCAAGUCAACCAUUAAGUUGCAAUGAGGGAGAGGGGUGUGUUUGUACGGCCCCAUUUUGCAAGUUAGCCAUCAACUCACAACCGGGGGUGGCAUUUUUUUAGGGUCGCCAGUUACAUGUCAGCCAUUGACUCGCACCUAGGGGUUUUUUUGUAGGGCCCCGGUUUGUUUUUUUAUAGGAGGCCCAGUUGCAACUCAACCAUCGACCCGCAACUUGCAACUAGGGGGCGUGUAUUUUUAGGGGCCCAUUUGCAUGUCAACCACCACCUCGCAACCAGGGAGGGGAGUGUGUCUAUACGGGCCCUAUCUACAAGUCAACCAUCGACUCACAACUGGUUGGGAGAUGUCUGUGUAUUUGUCAGGGGCCCCAGUUGCAUGUCAACCAUCGACUACCAACUAUAAGGGGGCGGCGGCUAUGUGUGUUUGUGGGAGGCCCUAGUUGCAGUCAACCAUUGACUAUUGACUAUAGGGGGCGGCGUCUGUGUGUGUUUGUGGGAGGCCCCAGUUGCAUGUCAACCAUCGACUUGCAACUAGGGGGGUGGUUAGUAGGGCCCCCAGUUUGAAGUCAACCAUCAACUUGCAACUAGGGGAUGGGAGUGUGAUUGUACGGGCCGCAGUUGCAAGUCAACCAUCGACGCGCAACUAGGGGAGGGAGUGUGUUUGUACGGGCCCCAGUUGCAAGCCAACCAUCGACUCGCAACUAGCAUGACGACGUUUGUGUGUGUUUGUUAGGGGCCCCAGUUGCAUGUCAACCAUCGACUUGCAACUAGGGGGCGUCUAUGUGUUUGUCGAGGCCCCCAAUUGUAUGUCAAGCAUCAACUUGCAACUAUGGGGUUUGUUAGUAGGGGCAGCAGUUGCAAGUCAACCAUCAACUUGCAACUAGGGAGGGAAGUUUGUUUGUACAGGCCCCAGUUGCAAGUCAACCAUCGAUGUGCAACCAGGUGAGAGGAGUGUAUUCUGUACGGGUCACAGUUGCAAGUCAACAAUCGACUCACAACUCGGGGUGGCAUUUGUUUUUUUGUAGGGGCCCCAGUUACAUGUCAGCCAUUGACUUACAACUAGGGGUGUUUUUGUAGGGCCUCGGUUGCAAGUCAACCAUCGACAUGCAAUCCAGGGGUGUUAUUUGUUUUUUUGUAGGGGUCCUAGUUGCGAGUCAACCAUCGACCCGCAACUAGAGGGUCGUCUAUUUGUAGGGGCCCAACUGCAUGUCAACCACCGACUCGCAACUAGGGAAGGUAGUGUGUUUGUUCAGGCCAGAUUGCAAGUCAACCAUCAACUCGCAACUGGUGGGGCAUGUUCUAUGUGUGUUUGUCGGGGGGGGGGGUUGCAUGUCAACCAUUGACUAUCAACUAGGGGCGACGUCUGUGUGUUUCUCGGAGGCCCUAGUUGCAUGUCAACCAUCAACUUGCAACUAGGGGGUUUGUUUGUAGGAGCCCCAGUUGCAAGUCAACCAUCGACAUGCAACUUGGGCCCCCUACCCUUUUUGUCCCAAUUGCAACUCCACCCUCGACACACAAAUGAGAGAGUGGACAUCCCUUUAUUGUCCUAGUUGCAAGUACACUCUCGACAUGCAACUAAGAGAGGGGAUUUUUUUGUCCUAGUUACAAGUCCACCCUUGAUACGCAACUAGGCCCCCCUACCCUUUUAGUCCCGAUUGCAGCUCCACCCUCGACAUGCAACUAAGAGAGGGGACAUCCCUUUUUUGUCCUAGUUGCAAGUCCACCAUCGAUACGCAACUGGGGCCCCCAUCCUUUUGUCCCAAUUGCAGCUCCAUCCUUGACACGCAACAAAGAGAGGGGAUGUUCCUUUUUUGUCCUAGUUGCAAGUCCACGCUGGACACACAACUGGAGUCCCUACUCAUUUUGUCUGAAUUGCAGGUCCACCCUUGACACGCAACUGAGAGAGGGGGCGUUUCUUUUUUGUCCUAGUUGCAAGUACACCCUUGACACGCAACUGAGAGAGGGGACGCCCUUUUUUUGUCCUAGUUGCAAGUCCACCUCGACAUGCAACGGGGGACCCUACCCUUUUUGUCCCAAUUGCAGCACCAACUCGACAUGGAACUAAGAGAGGUGACGUCCCUUGUUUGUCCUAGUUGCAAGCACAUCCUUGACAUGCAACUGGGGGCCAUACUCUUUUGCCCCAAUUGCAGCUCCACCCUCGACACACAACUGAGAGAGGGGACGUCCCUUUUUUGUCCUAGUUACAAGUCCACCAUGGACAUGCAACUGGGCCCCCCUACCUUUUUGUCCCAAUUGCAGCUCCACCCUCGACACGCAACUGAUAGAGGGAACAUUCCUUUUUUAUCCUAGUUGCAACUACACUCUCGACACGCAACAAAGAGAGGAGGCGCCCCUUUUUUGUCCUAGUUGCAAGUCCACCCUCGACACGCAACUGCCCCCCUACCUUUUUUGUCCCAAUUGCAGCUUCACCCUUGACCCGCAGUAGAGAGAGGGGAUGUUCCUUUUUUGUCCUAGUUGCAAGUUCACCCUAGACACGCAACUAGGCCCCCUACACAUUUUGUCCGAAUUCCAGCUCCACCUUUGACACACAACUAAGAGAGGGGACGUCCCUUUUUUGUCCUAGUUGCAAGUACACCCUCGACACACAAUUGAGAGAGGGGACACCUUUUUUGCCCUAGUUGUGAGUCCACCCCGACACGCAACUGGGCCCCCUACCCUUUUUGUCCUAAUUGCAGCACCAACUCAACAUAGAACUGAGAGGGGGUGGUCCCUUGUUUGUCCUAGUUGCAAGCACAUCCUCGACAUGCAACUGGGCCCCCCUGCCCUUUUUGCUCCAAUUACAGCUCCACUCUCGACUCACAACUAAGAGAGGGGACAUCCCCUUUUUGUCCUAGUUAUAAGUCCACCAUCAACAUGCAAAUGCCCCCCUACCUUUUAUCCCAGUUGCAGCUCCACCCUCGACACGGAACUGAGAGAGAGGACGUCCUUUUUUGUCCUAGUUACAAGUUCACCCUCGACACGCAACUGGGAGCCCCUACCCUUUUUGUCCCAAUUGCAGCUGCACCCUCGACAUGCAACUGAGAGAGGGGGUGUCGCUUUUUUGUCGUGGUUGCAAGUCCAUCAUCGACAUGCAACUGGGCCCCCCUACCCUUUUUAUCCCAAUUGCCCGACCCAUUUUUGUCCCAGUUGGAAGUCCAUCCUUGACACAGAACUGGACUUAAUCUAUUUUUGUCCUGGUUGCAAGUCCACCUUCGACAUGGAACUGCAUGCCUGCAACGAGACUACAAUUAGGGGCGGGAGGAGUGUUAUCGGGCGGUUGUACCCACAUUUUAAAAAAUAUUCAUGAUUUUUAGUUUUUAUAUUAUUUGUAAAAAAAUUCAUGAAUAAAGUCAGAAAAUUGUGAUUUUUUUGAAAAUCAUAAAUUUUCCAAUUCUUGUUUUUAAUUACAUUUAUAAAAUCGUGAUUUUUUUAAUCUGAACUUUUUUAAUUUCAGGAACAUUUUUCUAUUUGAUAAACUUUUUUGAAUUCGUAAACAUUUUUUGAAUUUUCUAUGUCCUUUCUAAUUCACGAUUUAACAAAAAUUUGCAUAUUUUUAUUUCACCAACAAAAUCAAAAAUAAUAGAAAAUAUAUGUUUUGCCCUUAGUUGUAUUUGACUGAUGGACGGCAAGAAAACACAAAGUGGAAAUAAUUACAGAGUAGGCUAAGGAAAAGGCUUUGGCGAGAAUUACGGCGUGUCUAGCUGCAUCUACAUGGGGUAGUUGCUCGUUGAUUAAUAGUUGAGUGAGAGAUGUAGCGUGCUUAAUUACUAGACUAGAGGAGGUAAUUAGCUAUGUGAUGAUAGCAUGCUCGUUGAAUAUACGAGCCUAGCUGCUAGGUCUAGGAUUCUAAGCGAGCAAGUGCACGUACAUUUUCUUCUGAGGAUAACGAGUGUACAUACAUGUUUUGAAAAGAACCAUCGUGUAAUUGGGCCUCCCAGCCAGCCGUUCCGCUUGGGCCGUCCUUGUUGGAAGGAGGCCACGACCGCCCGCCCGCUUCUCCAGCGUCGGUCAACACGGUUGCGCGUGUACUGAUAUCGGAUCGAAGGAGGAAAAACAAAUAGGGAGCGUCUAGUGGGCGGCCGGCUGCCCACUAGCGCGAUGGAGCGGCCAGUCAUACAUGCGCGAGCGGCUGGCCUAAAAUAGACAUGCAUGUAUGUAAUUUUUGUCCGCUAGCACAUGUAUCUUUUAGCAUUUAAUACAUUCACACCGGUCACAGUCAGUUGGAAAAAACAGAUUACAUAUGCAUUUGUUUCGGUUUUCAAAAUUUUCAAAAAGCUAUAUCUUCCAAACCGCGCGUCGGAAUUAAGAUUCGUUUUCACCGCUGGAAUCCUCGCGACGUGCUCUUCAAAACUAUAUCCCGCAUGGGGAUGUUUCGACGAACUAGUCUUCCUGCCAACUAAACAUCAAUGUGUGUGCAACUAGACUAGAUUGCCGCGUCAACUGAGCAUAUGUGUGUGCCAAAAAAGUCCUGCCAACUAAACAUCAAUGUAUGUGCAACUAGACUAAAUUGCCACGCCAACUGAGCAUAUGUGUGUGCAACUAGUGUCCUGCCAACUAAACAUCAGUGUGUGUGCAACUAGACUAAAUUACAAGCCAACUAAGCAUAUGCGUGUGUAAUUAGUCUUCCUGCCAACUAAACAUCAAUGUGUGUGCAACUAGACUACAUUACAAGCCAACUAAAUAUCAAUGUAUGUGCAACUAGACUACAUUACAAGCCAACUAAAUAUCAAUGUGUGUGCGACUAGACUACAUUACAAGAGGAGGUUGCACAUCGACUUUCGUCGAGGCAAUAGACUAGUCGCACAUCAAAGUUGUCGUGGUUGCUAGGUUGUAACCUCAUACGAAGGCGCAGCUCCAAACAUUAGUUUUGGAAAAAAAUUGCACGAUGUAGUAAUAAAGUUGCACAAUGCAGUAAUAGAGUUGCACUAUAUAGCUCCAAAGUUGGCAUCGAAAAAAAUUCGUCAAAAUAUACCCAUGCGGGAUCUAGUUUCAAAGAUCUCACCUGUAUACAACUUUUCUGCACCCUCAUGGUCUAUGGAUGUGCAUUUUUUCACCAUUCAACAAAUUCAUGUCAGUGAGAUGUGCAACUUUAUCUGUUGCCCUGGCCAACUGCCUAGCAGAUUCUGUGCAACUACUUCUAUUGCCCCUGCCAACUACUUCCAAUGACCGUGUCCAACUGAAAACAACUAUAUGUGCAAGUAGAACUACUAUAGAUGCCAACAAAAAAUGAUCGUCGUGUGUGCACUUUCCAAUGACCGUGUCCAAUUGAAAACAACUAUGUGUGCAACUAGAACUACUAUAGAUGCCAACCAAAAAUAAUUCUUGUGUGUGCAACUUUUCAAUGAUUAUGUCCAACUGAAAACAACCAUGUGUGCAACUGGAACUACUAUAGAUGCCAACAAAAAAUGAUCACCGUGUAUGUAACUUCCGAAUGACCGUAUCUAACCGAGAACAAUUAUGUGCGUAAUAUCUAGAAGUACUGUAGAUGCCAACAAAAAAUGAUCGCUGUGUGUGCAACUUCCCAAUGAUCGUAUNNNNNNNNNNNNNNNNNNNNNNNNNNNNNNNNNNNNNNNNNNNNNNNNNNNNNNNNNNNNNNNNNNNNNNNNNNNNNNNNNNNNNNNNNNNNNNNNNNNNNNNNNNNNNNNNNNNNNNNNNNNNNNNNNNNNNNNNNNNNNNNNNNNNNNNNNNNNNNNNNNNNNNNNNNNNNNNNNNNNNNNNNNNNNNNNNNNNNNNNNNNNNNNNNNNNNNNNNNNNNNNNNNNNNNNNNNNNNNNNNNNNNNNNNNNNNNNNNNNNNNNNNNNNNNNNNNNNNNNNNNNNNNNNNNNNNNNNNNNNNNNNNNNNNNNNNNNNNNNNNNNNNNNUAUGUGCAACUUUCCAAUAAUCAUGUCCAACGAAAAACAACUAUGUGUGCAACUAAAACUACUAUAGAUGCCAACUAAAACUACCCUGUAAAUACUUGUUCUGGAUCUGCAAGUGGCGAAGGUGCCGUUUCAGGAUGCAGAGGCUUCUGAUCUGGGUACUGCAACACUUUGUAGUUGUACGCAGUCUGAGCAGAAAUGUUGGCAGAGAUUCUCUAUCUUCCCAUGCUGCGGCCUGUAAUUACUAGAUGCAGUGGACGAGGACUCCAACACGUCCCUGCAGCAACGAACCAACACAUCCAAUCUAUUCAUUCCCGGCAAGGAAACAUGAAAAAUUGAUGGAUUUGUUAGGGGCAAAUCAUCGCAUCAGGCCAGGGAAGAAGAGAGAGAAAGAGAGCAAAAGGAGUGGAUGAGGAGAAGAUACGACCUUCUUGGGGCACUAGGCAUGUCAUCGGGGCACAGAUCGAAUCAGCCGUUUGGUAAGUCACUGGGAACCACGUCGCCAAGCGAGCGGAAGCACAAG
This 17376-nucleotide long non-coding RNA is filed under the name Triticum aestivum (bread wheat). Its description in RNAcentral is "long non-coding RNA (TAES_LNC025809)". The record is from RNAcentral. Lineage: Eukaryota; Viridiplantae; Streptophyta; Magnoliopsida; Poales; Poaceae.